RNAcentral lists this ribosomal RNA (408 nucleotides) under uncultured bacterium. RNAcentral's name for it is "partial 16S ribosomal RNA". It matches the Rfam family "Bacterial small subunit ribosomal RNA", at positions 28 to 526 of the family's 1533-position model. The record is from RNAcentral.
GACGAACGCUGGCGGCGUGCUUAACACAUGCAAGUCGAACGAAGUGGAGAACGGGUGAGUAACGCGUAAUCAACCUGCCCUUCAGGGGGGGACAACAGUUGGAAACGACUGCUAAUACCGCAUACAGAAGAGGGGGAAUGCGUAUGAUUAGCUAGUUGGAGGGGUAACGACCCACCAAGGCGAUGAUCAGUAGCCGGGCUGAGAGGAUGAACGGCCACAUGGGGACUGUGACACGGCCCAGACUCCUACGGGAGGCAGCAGUGGGGAAUCUUCCGCAAUGGACGAAAGUCUGACGGAGCAACGCCGCGUGAGUGAUGACGGCCUUCGGGUUGUAAAGCUCUGUUAAUCGGGACGCGGUACCGGAAUAGAAAGCCACGGCUAACUACGUGCCAGCAGCCGCGGUAAUAC